ACAAAAAGAGUAUUUCUGUGGAACAGGAACCUGUGGGAGGAGAAUGUGCCAUGCAUUUGCCUUGGGUGACCUUCUUUCUGAACAUACAAAGGAUAUUCUCAUGAUUUAUGAACAAGAAGCAGAAGAGUGGGCUCUGUAUUUAAAAACUCUUUUCAAACACAUAGUGAAUGAAGAAGGAAUCUUGCUCUACAGCCUCGAGAGUUCUUCUAUCAAGCACCUGGAGUUAUUCUCUUUAUCCUGUUAUAAAUGUAAAGUGCUGAUACUGUCGUGUGGACUUCUUGAAAGUCUGAAUCAAAAGAGAAGUUAUUUUCUCGAGCAAGUUCUCAAACCUCCAAAUAAUGUGGUGAUUCUGCUUUGCGGGGUAGAGAAUUCAGAUAUUCUCUAUGAUGUACUGACUUUGGAGAAAGGCAGCAAAGAGAUCUCCACUGAUCAAGAACCUGAGGAAUAUCUCUCCAUUGUUACUGGAAUUAUUCAAUCAGGUAAACCACAGAAUGAAAACUUUGAAGACUCCCUGUCUUAUGUAUAUGAGGCAGUUCUUACAGAUGGUUACCAGAAUAACACCAAUGUUAACUUGUCAAGUAUCAGAGGAGCAUCAGAAGAAACAGAUCUUUGUUUGGAAACAGGGGUAGUUUCUGAAACAUUAGAAACUAACCGACGAUCAGCGUUGGUGCUUCCAGCUAGGAUAUCAUGUGAAAACCCUGGUGAAAUAUUCAUUUUGUUGAAAGAUGAAGUAGAUGAUGAAACUUUAGAAAUUGAAUUCAUAGCCGACGAUCAAAGAAUUAGGACACAGCCAGCCCCUUGGAAUCAGAAGGUCAAGUACAUGAAAGCCUUAGAUUUUCCUCCUGGCCCUGUAUAUGUAAAUGUCUACUGCGGGGGAGUCAUUAAGGCCACAGCACAGAUCGAAUACUAUACUGCACUAGAGGAGAUUGAGAAUGUUCUCAAAAAAGUGGCUGACCCAAUAGCUUUUGCUUGUCAGACUUUUAAGGUCUGUUCUGCAGAGAAGAUGGACAAUGUUUUGACUCUGUUACUGAAAAGCAAGAUGUCUGCUUCUGAAUUCAGCACAUUCCAAAGUGAAGAAGAGCACCAUCAACAAGCUAAUAGCCAUUUGGAAGAACUUCCCACUCUCCUUCACUGUGCAGCCAAAUUUGGCUUAAAGAACCUUGCUGCUCUUCUGCUCAGAUGUCCCAAGGCCAUACAGGCUUGCAACAUAACCAACAAAGAUGGAGAUGAUCCAGCAGGUAUUGCUGGAAAGCAUGGUCACAAGGAAGUACAAAAAUUAAUCAGAGAUUUUUUGAUUAAUAUGUCAGAUAACUUCACCAAUUAUGAGGAGGAAGUGGAAGAGGAUGACACUUACAUCGUUAUGUUAGGCUCAGAAACUCAACCGACCAUUACAUUAAAAGCCAAGCAGAACCCAGGGGAUCAGCAUGGAAUUGGAUCAAGAUGCCAAAGAGAAGCUGAGGUGGAUGAAGAAAAGAAAGACAAUGUAGAAGAUGGCCUGGAAGAAACAGAGAAAGAACAUGAGGAAGAUAAAGUAGGGGAAGAUUCAUAUAGCUUCAAUAACAAGCCUGACAGUUUGUACGCCAACAUACUUGAUGACAGUCCUGAAGAGAACAGAAGAGACUGCUUUUUCUAUAAGAGGCCACCCCUUCUUCCCCCUCGAAAUCUGCCUGGCACCUUCAAACAGGAUGAUCUGCACAAUUUAUCACAAGAGAGGAAUCUGAUGGAAGACAGAAGUGAAAGAGAACAUGGUGAUGGAGACUUAACAGCGUGUUACGGAGAAGACCCAGAUACAUAUGAGGGAGAUGGUGAGGAGGAGGACCCGUACACUUUUGCUAAGUUGGAUGAGUCUGUGUACGAUAUAAUACUGGCUAAUGAGGAGAAGGAGAAAAGGAAAGAACGCAGGUCUUUUAUUGUGAACAGGCCUCCAGCUCCUGCCCCUCGUCCUAUAUGUUCAGCAGUCAGAGAGGAGAACACUCCCUAUAUAGUGCAAGUGUUUCAGCAAAAGGCCACUAGACCGCCCCGUGACCAUGAGAAGAUGUGCUGCGAUGUCAGGAAGCAAGCACACAGAGGCCAUGGUGAUGCGGUCACUUACAGCACUUUGAAACAGACCAUUUCUGUGAAUGAAGCACUUGAAAAAUUUAAACAAUGGCAGAAUGAAAAGAGCAGACUGCAAUCUGCUCAGCAGAAGGUACACCACCUUAGAGGAACCAACAUCAGAAACAGACUGGAAAAGGAAAAUCUGCACGGUAAGUUACACUUUAUUCGCCUUUCAAAACACUGACGACUUGAACUGUAAAUAAAUAUACUGCAAAGACCUGCUGCAGAUCAUAAGCAGACUUUUGGAUCAGGCACUGGGUUUGUAAUGAGCAUUUUCUAUCUUAUUGCAUCGAAGUGUUGUGUGUUUAAAGUAAUCGGUCCUUUAGAAGGGUCAAGAUUUUGUCCCAAAAGAUGAGCUCAGUGAGAGUUAGUGGGGCAGAAAAUUUACCAGUUCUGCACAGUUCAGCUUUUCUAUAGUUGCUAUUUCCUACUGCUUUGUUAUACUUAGAAUAAAUGAUUUAUUCAGGACAAUUUAAUUGAUGAAUUCAAUAUUUUAUUGGUAAAUCAGCUGUCAGUUUACACUUGUAAAUUCUUGAUAAACCUUCCACUGCUACAGUACUAAUAGUAUUGCGAUUCAUUAAUAACAGCUGUACAAUUGGUAAUUUAAGAUGCUUUUUUUCCCUUUGGAAUUGAAUGCCUUCAGCAGUAUAAUUCACCUAUAUUUCCUAUAAAUUAUUUUCUCUUGUUGUGUCAGUCUUGACUGCAGACCCAAGAUUUCUGUAAACGUCAGUACAUAUAGGUUCUUGGAAGUAAAGUACUGUAUUUCUUUUUCACAUUACACUUAGAACCCUCAACAUAAAUUUCUAUUUAUAAUUAUCACCUAAGUAUAAGUUAUUUCCUUACAAUAAGGGAGAAAAAUAAUCCAUAGUACUACUUCCAUUAUUCCAUUAAACAGCGUUGCAUUUAUGUAGACCUGCAUUUAUGUAGCAUUCAGUCAGUAGCUCUUUACUGAAAAACAUUUUUUUAAUAUCUUUUAGCUGUAUCAAUGACUGAAUUACCAGAUAAAAGCCUACCUAAACACUAAUACUAUUUAAUUGUAGCGAAUGGUAAUACCCUCUGAACAUAAGAACAAUUAUUCUAAGGUUUGGCUUUAAGAUUCUACUUAACAUACAAAUGCAUGCAGUUUAGGCUCCAGCGGUUUGGGAACAAAACUGAAUAUGAAAGGAGAAAUUCAUGUGCUCUUUUUGAAACAUAUUUAAAAAGCAAGCAUGCACCUCUGUGAAAGGUAGGAAGGUGACAGAAAUAAUAAUUGUAACAGUGGAUUUGCCAGCCCCUCCCAAUGGGGAAAAUCGCCAUUGAACGUCACCCAAAAGGUAAGUGGUAAUACCUGGUGCUUGGUUGAUGGGUUUGUUUAAGUGCUUUAGGCUUGCCUCCCCCACCCCUCCCCGCAUAUCCUCUGUGACAAAGUCCUGUGCAGAAAUGCACUUGUCAUCAGCAAGUUCUUCCUUUCAGAGGAAUUCUAGAUUAUUUAUAUUUGAGCCUUACAAACCUGCAUAGCCGGUAGAGGUGCAGCAUUCUAAGCAUGGCAGCAGGCUGAGAUCCUGCCCUGCCCUGCCCAGCCUGCCAAGUGCUCCUAUUGGCAAGGCAGAGCUCGCGAUGAUGCAAGCGUGAUUCUUGGAAACAAGAAUCUGGCUGUAGGGUUUAUCUAUCUGUAGGGUUUUCUCCUAAGACCACGUCAGUCAACGAAUCAUACCAGCCAGGUCAACAGAAAUGUAGUAUCAACAAGAGAAUUUUAAAUUUUGUGAAACAGUAAGGCUUUUGUAUUCUCCACUAACUCAGAUAAUGAUCACUAUGUUCCCUUCUGAUCCUAACCUCUCUGCCCUUUGUUACACUGUCUUAUAGCUCAUGAUGCAUUUAAAAUCAGCUGCUUUGCACUGUAGAGAUACAAUGAGAAGAAUCAUUACAGAUGGCCCCUGUCCUACCUAACAGCACACUCAUUACCAAAGAUAUAAGUUACUGAAAACAGGAACUUUUAAAAGAUAAAUCUCCCCCUGGGAAUGGAGGCACACUAAUGGCAAGAAUAAACAGGACCUCAGAACAGCAAUACCUAAAUUCAGACAUAAAUAAAUUUCCUGAAGCAAAAGUGACAAUUGCAUUUUUUUUCUUCUUUCUGUAGUUCAUAAGGAAAGCAGACCAGAGAGCGUUCAUUUUAGAGACUUGUUAUACUACAUGCCAUUUAAUAAAGUGUCUCCAACUAGAAACCCAACAGACAAG
This is a non-coding RNA of Struthio camelus australis, 4311 nucleotides long. The record is from RefSeq and is a predicted model, not a curated record. NCBI's taxonomy places the organism in Eukaryota, Metazoa, Chordata, Aves, Struthioniformes, Struthionidae.